GGCGGGGCCCGCCGCUCAGUCACCGCCCUGUUGGUCCCAGCUCCGCCCGCUGCCUCGAAUCUAGCCGUUUACUUGGGCUCCCCCGGCCAAGGGCGCGGUGCUCCAGAGCGGGCAGUUGCAGACUGCGGGGUCAGACCGCGAGACAAGAGGACAGAUGAUUGGAUUGAAACGCAGCUUUGCAGGACAAGUGCCCCCCUCUCCCACGCCCAGGCCAGAGCAGUCACCCCUGGAGCAACUUGCUCUGCCCCAGUGAACGCCAGAGCGCGUCCCGGGCCUCCCACCCGCGCGCCAGCCUCACCCGGGCUGAGAACACCGCGGCCCGGCGAAGAAAACGAACUCCCCCGCGACUUCAGCGGCUAGGGUAAAAUACUUCUCAAAAGUCGCGGCCCAAGCAACUCAUAGCAAAUUUGCCGGGGUUUUCUUGGGAAGUCGCGAGGCCCCAACUUGUUUUAAAACAAAGUGCGAAGGAGGAAACAGCCCCAGUUCUGCCAACGUUUGCCACCUCCCGCUGCUUGAAGACUCACAGGAUGGUUUGUUCCAUUCCUCGACUUACCAAGUCAGAAGAGGUGGCUGGACAUAUGCACCAAACAUAUGCACCUCAUGUGCAGAGGGGGAACCAAUCCGGUCACCUUUCAGAAGGACGAAUGGAAGAGAGUCAGAAAGAGAUGCCUUUCGCUCAGAUUGGGGAACAAACAGGACCCCAGAAAGGGCCGCAUGUGGUUCAAAAGGCAUUCCUGGCCUCUCUCCACCAAUCGUGAACGCUCAGCCAACAGACUGGAGGAGAAAUGGGACGCUGGGGGACCCACCCCCGCCUUCCCCCUCCCACCCCCAGACUGCAGAUUUUUAAAUUGUGCAGACAUGCAGUAAUUCCUCAGAGUCAGCUGCUCCAAGCUGUAGGCGCCCAGUGUUCCCUGGGUUCCCACUCGACAUCACUAGCUCUGCCAGCUGCCCUCAACCCGGCGCCCCCAACCCACCAUCUGCUGACCACCACCUCAGAGAAGCGCUUAGCGAAACCACACAAUUCGAGGAUGGGUUCAAAGGAAUCUGUGGAAUGAGUGAAAGAUGCUUUCUUGAUCUCGUGGAAGUACCCUAUGGUGAUCUGUGGGUUUCCUAAUUAUACUUUGUUCAAUCAAAACCCACUGGGGGGCGGGGGGGGGGAGGAGCAAUGUUUACAGUAUCUUCAAAGAGGUGAAACCUGAACCUUAAAGGGUGGUGGCCCAGAGGAGAGGAUAGCCACCAAAGCAUAAGAUGAUUUUCCCUUGAAGGACUGGGGACCACUGGUCUCCAGCAUUUUCAUUUGGCUCAUGGAAGGCAAGGUAGCUGCAGAGCCCAUGCUUUGGUUCCUCUGUCCCUGAUCCCGUGGUUCUUUGGUUCCCCCAAGCCUGCCUCCUGUCCAGUAAAGGGAGGAUCCAAAGCUUUUGUCUACAUUGCUGCUAGCAAGAGGCUGGAAAAGGUAAUUUUUAUACACAAUUCAUCAUCUUUCACCUAAGGUCUAAGUUUAUACUUAAAAUGUUUACAUUUUAUCAGCACCUUAAGAAGAAUGAUCCCAGGUCUCUCCCAGCAGUUAGCUAUUUAAUCAUUCCAAAAUCACUAAGUUUAUCCCAAAAGCCCAUGCUUGUUUGCUUGCAAAGAAUCAUGUUCUGCAUCUCUAAGCCCUGCAGAAGGCAACUGUGCUGCAGGAGAAUCUAGUCAGGUUGUAGCACUGCAUGUCAGCAGGAGGGAAGGCACUGGUAGGGGUGGUCAGGAAGGGCCCCCCGUAACACCUGCAGGAGCUGGGGACGGAAAGGGGUAAGCCUCCAUUGUGGGCUGUAGAAUGCAUAUGCAGAGGAGCACAGGUUUGAGUCAGAUGUCUUGGUUCUCUGCCUGCUGAAGGAUGUGGGAAGUCAUCUAGUCUUUCAGUCCUGCUAUUGUCAUCUGUAAGGUCAUCCUCACUCAUAGGAUGACCAUGUGAAACAAAUUAAAUAAUAAACAGGAAUAUGUUGUAGGGACCAUAAAGCAUGCCUGUUCCCAGAAUAUUUACUCUUGAACAUUGACCACAGUUGAGCCAGGAAACAUGGUUAAUUUAUUUCAAAACACACACACACACACACACACAGUGAGAGAGAGAGAGAGCGCCCCUGUGUGUGGAUCCCCUUCCCCCAAUCUGUCCCCACCACGGUGGUACAUGCUUUGACCUAAUUGCCUUCUUCCCUCCACAGAUCCACUUCCUAAUCCAUCAACAUGUCCUUAGGAUGCAUGACAUGAUACCUACUCCCCUCUUAACUAAUCACGCCUAUGGGAAAGCCUCAAGGGAACCUCACAUUAAC
RNAcentral lists this long non-coding RNA (2306 nucleotides) under Marmota monax (woodchuck). The record is from RNAcentral. Lineage: Eukaryota; Metazoa; Chordata; Mammalia; Rodentia; Sciuridae.